GUGCUUGCUUUGGCAGCACAUAUACUGCAAUCAGAACAAUACAGAGAAGAUUAGUAUGGCCCCUGUGCAGGGAUGACACACAAUUUUGUGGCAUGUUCCAUGUUUUU
Camelus dromedarius (Arabian camel) is the source of this 107-nucleotide small nuclear RNA. NCBI's taxonomy places the organism in Eukaryota, Metazoa, Chordata, Mammalia, Artiodactyla, Camelidae. The record is from Ensembl.